RNAcentral lists this ribosomal RNA (464 nucleotides) under uncultured bacterium. Its description in RNAcentral is "bacterial SSU rRNA". It matches the Rfam family "Bacterial small subunit ribosomal RNA", at positions 330 to 793 of the family's 1533-position model. The record is from RNAcentral.
GCCAGACUCCUACGGGAGGCAGCAGUGGGGAAUAUUGCACAAUGGGGGGAACCCUGAUGCAGCGACGCCGCGUGGGUGAAGGAGCACCUCGGUGCGUAAAGCCCUAUCGGCAGGGGAGAAAAGCGAACAGGUUCGCCUGGACGGUACCUGACUAAGAAGCCCCGGCUAACUACGUGCCAGCAGCCGCGGUAAUACGUAGGGGGGAAGCGUUAUCCGGAUUCACUGGGUGUAAAGGGAGCGUAGACGGCGACGCAAGUCUGGAGUGAAAGCCCGGGGCCCAACCCCGGGACUGCUCUGGAAACUGCGUCGCUGGAGUACGGGAGGGGCAGGCGGAAUUCCUGGUGUAGCGGUGAAAUGCGUAGAUAUAAGGAGGAACACCGGCGGCGAAGGCGGCCUGCUGGACGAUGACUGACGUUGAGGCUCGAAAGCGUGGGGAGCAAACAGGAUUAGAUACCCCCGUACGG